This 874-nucleotide small RNA is filed under the name Pan troglodytes (chimpanzee). Its description in RNAcentral is "retained intron". The record is from RNAcentral. Lineage: Eukaryota; Metazoa; Chordata; Mammalia; Primates; Hominidae.
CCCUCUUUGUUCCCUGGUCCGGGCCGCAGGCCGGCUGCGGCGGACUGGGCGGCGGAAGUUCGACGGCGCCGGGCGAGUGGCUGUUGAGCGGCGGCGCGGGAGUUCCGCAGGUUCCCCGUGUCCGCAGCGGAGCCGGAGGCCAGCUGAGCCCGGCCGUGGGAUCCCGGAUAGGAGGAGGAGGGGACCCACAGGACGCGUAAACAUGGACCUGGAAAACAAAGUGAAGAAGAUGGGCUUAGGUCACGAGCAAGGAUUUGGAGCCCCUUGUUUAAAAUGCAAAGAAAAAUGUGAAGGAUUCGAACUGCACUUCUGGAGAAAAAUAUGUCGUAACUGCAAGUGUGGCCAAGAAGAGCAUGAUGUCCUCUUGAGCAAUGAAGAGGAUCGAAAAGUGGGAAAACUUUUUGAAGACACCAAGUAUACCACUCUGAUUGCAAAACUAAAGUCAGAUGGAAUUCCCAUGUAUAAACGCAAUGUUAUGAUAUUGACGAAUCCAGUUGCUGCCAAGAAGAAUGUCUCCAUCAAUACAGUUACCUAUGAGUGGGCUCCUCCUGUCCAGAAUCAAGCAUUGGUAAAUAAUAUGGGGACAGAGAGUUUCUUUAUUGAAGUUCCUGGAGUAUUUAUUUGGGGCAGUUUCUUUGAUGACCUAAUCAACUUCACACGUCCCAGAUCUGUUAUUCUUCCGGGGUUCUCAUUACUUUGACUUCUGAUUCCUGUUCUAGUCUUUUGAAUGUAAGACUAGAUACUUCAUAAAAUUUUUCCAACUCCCUAGAUAUGUUUACCUUUUUGAGGGAAUGGUCUAACGUUCUUAAUAAUUAGAUGGAAAUCAGAUGUUUUAUAUCAAUCUAGUAACUCUUCUAGCUUAGUCUUGAGAGGA